CUAAUACCCAAUGAUAUCUCUAGAAGACAUCUGAAAGAGAUUAAAGAUUUAUCGGUGAUGGAUGGGGAUGCGUCUGAUUAGCUUGUUGGCGGGGUAACGGCCCACCAAGGCAACGAUCAGUAGGGGUUCUGAGAGGAAGGUCCCCCACAUUGGAACUGAGACACGGUCCAAACUCCUACGGGAGGCAGCAGUGAGGAAUAUUGGUCAAUGGACGAGAGUCUGAACCAGCCAAGUAGCGUGCAGGAAGACGGCCCUAUGGGUUGUAAACUGCUUUUAUAAGGGAAUAAAGUUAGUCUCGUGAGACUUUUUGCAUGUACCUUAUGAAUAAGGACCCGCUAAUUCCGUGCCAGCAGCCGCGGUAAUACGGAAGGUCCGGGCGUUAUCCGGAUUUAUUGGGUUUAAAGGGAGCGUAGGCCGGAGAUUAAGCGUGUUGUGAAAUGUAGACGCUCAACGUCUGCACUGCAGCGCGAACUGGUUUCCUUGAGUACGCACAAAGUGGGCGGAAUUCGUGGUGUAGCGGUGAAAUGCUUAGAUAUCACGAAGAACUCCGAUUGCGAAGGCAGCUCACUGGAGCGCAACUGACGCUGAAGCUCGAAAGUGCGGGUAUCGAACAGGAUUAGAUACCCUGGUAGUCCGCACGGUAAAC
RNAcentral lists this ribosomal RNA (646 nucleotides) under uncultured bacterium. Its description in RNAcentral is "bacterial SSU rRNA". It matches the Rfam family "Bacterial small subunit ribosomal RNA", at positions 163 to 807 of the family's 1533-position model. The record is from RNAcentral.